AUCCUGGCUUAGGACGAACGCUGGCGGCGUGCCUAAUACAUGCAAGUCGAACGGUCUUUCUAUGGAAGCUUGCUUCCACUGAGAAGAUAGUGGCGAACGGGUGAGUAACACGUGGGUAACCUGCCCAUAAGAGGGGGGAUAACAUCCGGAAACGGGUGCUAAUACCGCAUAGUUUUCUUGAUCGCAUGAUCGGGAAAGGAAAGACGGCCUUUGUGCUGUCGCUUAUGGAUGGACCCGCGGCGUAUUAGUUAGUUGGUGAGGUAACGGCUCACCAAGACGAUGAUACGUAGCCGACCUGAGAGGGUGAUCGGCCACAUUGGGACUGAGACACGGCCCAAACUCCUACGGGAGGCAGCAGUAGGGAAUCUUCCGCAAUGGACGAAAGUCUGACGGAGCAACGCCGCGUGAGUGAAGAAAGGUUUUCGGAUCGUAAAACUCUGUUGUCAGAGAAGAACAAGUUGGAGAGUAACUGCUCCAGCCUUGACGGUAUCUGACCAGAAAGCCACGGCUAACUACGUGCCAGCCGCCGC
RNAcentral lists this ribosomal RNA (530 nucleotides) under uncultured bacterium. RNAcentral's name for it is "bacterial SSU rRNA". It matches the Rfam family "Bacterial small subunit ribosomal RNA", at positions 16 to 518 of the family's 1533-position model. The record is from RNAcentral.